This 562-nucleotide long non-coding RNA is filed under the name Elaeis guineensis (African oil palm). Its description in RNAcentral is "long non-coding RNA (EGUI_LNC071006)". The record is from RNAcentral. Lineage: Eukaryota; Viridiplantae; Streptophyta; Magnoliopsida; Arecales; Arecaceae.
UGGACCCAUUCAACUACAACUAUUGAAGUUGAGUCUGGAGUAUCCUUGACCUAAUCUAAUUCAUCUUUUGAUUAGAUUUGACCAAUUACUCCAUUUAGUCCUUUUUUUAAACUAACCUUAGGUCUAACCCAAUUAUGGACCUAAUUCAUCUAACCCAUUGACCCAUAAGUUUAUGCAAUUGUCUUAGGUUUUAAUUCACAAUUCUAGACCUACUAGAUAACACUUAAUUCUUUUAAUUAAGUACUUAGGCUGAUGGGUCAGGGUUUGGCAUUUCGAAAAUAAUUUUCAAAUUUGAAAGAUUUUAUUUUCUGUUCACCAAAUGUGUUAGCUCAUUUCACAAACGGGUCAGUACAUUUCAUAAACAGCAAUUCUAUUGCUCAUUUCAUAACAGAAAAUAACUCAAAAUAAAUCAUAAAUUUUUUUUUAGAUCUAAUCUAACACAUACAUGAUAAAUUUCUUAAUUAAGUCCUUUCGCUGCUUCAUCGGUAUGGGAUAUAAUUGCAUCGGUACCCCUACCGCCAUAGGAGACCCCAUCGAAUGGGAAGAGAGGGCCUUUAAAUCC